This 448-nucleotide ribosomal RNA is filed under the name uncultured bacterium. Its description in RNAcentral is "bacterial SSU rRNA". It matches the Rfam family "Bacterial small subunit ribosomal RNA", at positions 330 to 794 of the family's 1533-position model. The record is from RNAcentral.
UCCAGACUCCUACGGGAGGCAGCAGUGGGGGAUAUUGCACAAUGGGGGGAACCCUGAUGCAGCGACGCCGCGUGGGUGAAGGAGCGUUUCGGCGCGUAAAGCCCUAUCGGCAGGGAAGAAGGAGGACGGUACCUGACUAAGAAGCCCCGGCUAACUACGUGCCAGCAGCCGCGGUAAUACGUAGGGGGCAAGCGUUAUCCGGAUUUACUGGGUGUAAAGGGGGCGCAGACGGCAGCGCAAGCCAGGAGUGAAAGCCCGGGGCCCAACCCCGGGACUGCUCUUGGAACUGCGCGGCUGGAGUGCAGGAGGGGCAGGCGGAAUUCCUGGUGUAGCGGUGAAAUGCGUAGAUAUCAGGAGGAACACCGGUGGCGAAGGCGGCCUGCUGGACUGCGACUGACGUUGAGGCCCGAAAGCGUGGGGAGCAAACAGGAUUAGAUACCCUCGUACU